RNAcentral lists this ribosomal RNA (492 nucleotides) under uncultured bacterium. Its description in RNAcentral is "partial 16S ribosomal RNA". It matches the Rfam family "Bacterial small subunit ribosomal RNA", at positions 29 to 507 of the family's 1533-position model. The record is from RNAcentral.
AGUGAACGCUGGCGGUAGGCCUAACACAUGCAAGUCGAACGGCAGCACAGUAAGAGCUUGCUCUUACGGUUGGCGAGUGGCGGACGGGUGAGGAAUACAUCGGCAUCUACUUUUUCGUGGGGGAUAACGUAGGGAAACUUACGCUAAUACCGCAUACGACCUACGGGUGAAAUCAGGAGAUCUUCGGACCUUGCGCGAUUGAAUGAGCCGAUGUCGGAUUAGCUAGUUGGCGGGGUAAAGGCCCACCAAGGCAACGAUCCGUAGCUGGUCUGAGAGGAUGAUCAGCCACACUGGAACUGAGACACGGUCCAGACUCCUACGGGAGGCAGCAGUGGGGAAUAUUGGACAAUGGGCGCAAGCCUGAUCCAGCCAUACCGCGUGGGUGAAGAAGGCCUUCGGGUUGUAAAGCCCUUUUGUUGGGAAAGAAAAGCAGCAGGUUAAUACCCCGCUGUUCUGACGGUACCCAAAGAAUAAGCACCGGCUAACUUCGUG